UAGGGAAUCUUCCACAAUGGACGCAAGUCUGAUGGAGCAACGCCGCGUGAGUGAAGAAGGUUUUCGGACCGUAAAGCUCUGUUGUUGGUGAAGAAGGAUAGAGGUAGUAACUGGCCUUUAUUUGACGGUAAUCAACCAGAAAGUCACGGCUAACUACGUGCCAGCAGCCGCGGUAAUCGUAGGUGGCAAGCGUUGUCCGGAUUUAUUGGGCGUAAAGCGAGCGCAGGCGGAAGAAUAAGUCUGAUGUGAAAGCCCUCGGCUUAACCGAGGAAUUGCAUCGGAAACUGUUUUUCUUGAGUGCAGAAGAGGAGAGUAGAACUCCAUGUGUAGCGGUGGAAUGCGUAGAUAUAUGGAAGAAUACCAGUGGCGAAGGCGGCUCUCUGGUCUGCAACUGACGCUGAGGCUCGAAAGCAUGGGUAGCGAACAGGAUUAGAUACCCUGGUAGUCCAUGCCGUAAACGAUGAGUGCUAAGUGUUGGGAGGCUUCCGCCUCUCAGUGCUGCAGCUAACGCAUUAAGCACUCCGCCUGGGGGAGUACGACCG
RNAcentral lists this ribosomal RNA (542 nucleotides) under uncultured bacterium. RNAcentral describes it as "partial 16S ribosomal RNA". It matches the Rfam family "Bacterial small subunit ribosomal RNA", at positions 355 to 888 of the family's 1533-position model. The record is from RNAcentral.